Molecule: ribosomal RNA, 395 nt
Filed under: uncultured bacterium
Lineage: Bacteria
Description: bacterial SSU rRNA
Rfam family: Bacterial small subunit ribosomal RNA
Source: RNAcentral
UCCUACGGGAGGCAGCAGUGAGGAAUAUUGCGCAAUGGGGGAAACCCUGACGCAGCAACGCUGCGUGGGCGAUGAAGGCCUUCGGGUUGUAAAGCCCUUUUCUGGGGGACGAGAAAGGACGGUACCUCAGGAAUAAGUCACGGCUAACUACGUGCCAGCAGCCGCGGUAAAACGUAGGUGGCGAGCGUUAUCCGGAUUUACUGGGCGUAAAGCGCGUGCAGGCGGCUUCGUAAGUCGGACGUGAAAGCUCCUGGCUCAACUGGGAGAGGCCGUUCGAUGCUGCUGAGCUUGAGGUCGGGAGAGGGAAGUGGAAUUCCCGGUGUAAUGGUGGAAUACUUCUAUAUCGGGAGGGACAACAGUGGCAAAGGAGGCUUCCUGGCCCGUACCUGAAGCUA